GUGGUCUCGGGCUGGGGGUGCCCGGGCAGCUGAGGCUCGGCCUUGGUCCUGGGGGAAUGUGGAGAGCUGGCACCAUGUCGGCCGAGCUGGGAGUCGGGUUCGCGCUGCGGAUGGUGAACGAGCGCGUGCAGCAGGCUGUGGCGCGACGGCCGCAGGAUCUCCCAGCCAUCCAGCCCCGGCUAGUGGCCGUUAGCAAAACCAAACCUGCAGACAUGGUGAUCGAGGCGUACAGUCAUGGCCAGCGCACCUUCGGGGAGAACUAUGUUCAGGAACUGCUAGAAAAAGCAUCAAAUCCUAAAAUUCUGUCUUCAUGUCCUGAGAUCAAAUGGCACUUCAUUGGCCACCUACAGAAACAAAAUGUCAAUAAAUUGAUAGCUGUCCCCAAUCUCUUCAUGCUGGAAACAGUGGAUUCUGUGAAAUUGGCAGACAAAGUGAACAGCUCCUGGCAGAAAAAAGGUUCUCCAGAAAGGUUAAAGGUUAUGGUACAAAUUAACAGCAGUGGAGAGGAGAAUAAACAUGGCCUUCCACCUUCAGAGACAAUAGCCAUGGUGGAACACAUAAAUGCCAAGUGCCCCAGCCUGGAAUUUGUGGGGCUGAUGACCAUAGGAAGCUUUGGGCAUGAUCUUAGUCAAGGACCAAAUCCAGACUUCCAGGUAUUAUUGUCCCUGCGGAAGGAGCUGUGUAAAAAGCUGCACCUCCCCACUGACAAGGUGGAGCUGAGCAUGGGCAUGUCCGUGGACUUCCAACACGCAAUCGAAGUGGGGUCUACAAAUGUCCGAAUAGGAAGCACCAUUUUCGGAGAACGAGAUUACUCAAAGAAACAUGCCACGGAGGAAUCCGCAGCAGACCUGAAGGCCUCGGUGGAGGUGGUACCAGAACACUGAACCCAGGAACGACCCGGCAGUAGCUCACAACCUGUGCUCCCUGUCCGGGAAGACGUCACUGCACACUGACCUAGAGUUUGAUAUUCUCCGUGUUACAGCACAGCCGUGCUCUCCCAUGAUCUGAGAACGCUAAGAUUAUUCAUCUGUUCUUAGACUCUGACGUGGGAAGCUCACAUCAAGCAGCAGUUUGGGAUUGGAGUUGAGGAAUCCAGAGAUUUCUGCGGAAUGCAUUCAAUGUCGAAGCCUGCCCAGGAGCGCCAAUCAUAAAUACCUUCUCCAGGUUAAAAUUUGGUCACCAAUGCCUCUAGUCACUGAAGUCAGGGGGCUUCCCGCAUGUCAUUCCACUUUAAUAGUAAAUUCCUCAUCGUUAGCAGCUUCACACAAGCUUCUACUGAUUCAUCAUCUUUGCUGCCCCAGAACUAGGUGAUUUCUGCCAAGUUUCUACCCUACUGAGUUGAUUUGAAGACACUUUACUCUGGAAUGGCAGUAUAGGUAACUUCAGGAAAUCGCCCAAGUUGAUUAUUGCUGGUAAGAGCUUGUGUUACUGGCCGCCCUGUGGUAUUGACCCUGAAAGCUGCAGGGGUGGCAUAAAUAGGACUUGAGUACUCCUGCCAUCCUCCUGAAGAGAUAAGACCUUGAGCUUUUUCCCCUGGGAUCUGCAGUGAGGAGAAGGUAAUUCAGUGUCUUCUCCACCAUAACCCUCUUCAUGGUGGUUAUUUAUCAACAACACACUCGCCAGUCUCAUUGCUCCCCAGAAAUGGAAGAUUCCUUCAAGGCCAGUUCAAGUUCAUGGCUUCAGUGAGGGCUGGCUCUGGGGCUCCUCUCCCCGAGGAGCGUGUUCCAGCCACAGUUACAGCUUCUCCACUGUGUUAAUAAGGCAGCAUUUUAUAGCUCUUCUUGAUUGUCAAGGAAGUAGGAAGAUCUUCAAAAACCAGAAAGCACAACUCUCAGUCAGAAUAGAUGGCUUCAGUGUGUGUGGCUGUUUAUUUUCUAGGUGACUUUUUCUCAUAUUUAUUCAAGCCCCAGUCUUUAUGAAAGAACAUUCAGAACAUGACACUGCUGUUGAAUGUAAUUUUGAAAAACCAGCCAUUAUGAUUCCUGACCUGUUCCUGAGCUGUAGUGUGGUAUUUCAGAGUCUAUUAAAUAAAAACGUGCAAUUGAAUUAUACCAUCUGUGCCAAUUACAAAGCAAUUAAAAGAGUUUAUUUUUUAUGAUCUGGUAGCAAGUGAGUGUAACAGGAGGGGCAUCCUGCCAGCCUGCCUGUGGAGGCGGGCUUCCCUUGGGUCCCAGAUGCAGCCAAAGCCAAGCUGUGGAGAGAAGAGGAGUUCUGAACUUCUAAGGGCUCGAAAAUGAAACACUGAUGUUCCGGCAGGAAUUAACAGAAAUAGAAGCCCUGGUGGUACAGUGGUUAUGAGUUUGGCUGCUCCAAGACUGGAACCAUCCCCAAAGCCAACUCUUCAGACAGGCAUUGGACUGGACUAUAAGAAAAUGAUACUGGGGGCAGGAGGGAGAUUGCUUUUCAUCAAAGUCGUGGCAGCAUCCCACAACGAGUUCCCUUAGUGAGGCAGCAGUGCUCUCCUGGGUCAGACACUAUGCAGUCUAGCAGUCCGAUGGUGCUGCCAGAGGCACUGGGCCCUUGUCUGCCCUGGUGCCAGCCUCAGAAGGCUUAGGACGCUCAGAGACCUCUCAGGAACCCACCAAGACUUUGUCAUCCUGGGAAGUCCUUCAUCGAUUUUGCCUGUUACAUCUCCCAUUGGCAUACAUUGUGGACAGGGGCGCUGAAGCCCAGAGGAGGCUCAGUGCCCUCCUGGUCUGAGGUCAGGGUGAGUUGGUAGUGGGGCCCACCAUAAACACAGGACCCAGGCUCCGGUCCAGAGCGAGGUCACCACACCACACCAGUAUCUUCUGUCAUGUCGGACUCCCAUCGCUGAUGAGCAGCAUAUUCUUAAAAUUGCAGGUUUAGUUUGAAAGAACCUUCUAUACCCUAAAAGAGAUUCAUGGUUUUAGACUGUUGCCAUAGUUGAGAAUCCACACAUCUGAAUGCAGAACAAACUUGGAAACCACAAGCAGUGGGGGUGCAAGGAAAGGAGAGAAUUAAACCCAGCAAUGGGUGGGAUUAGCCUUCCCUCCUCCCUCCCCUCCCAUCAUUCCAUUUGCCUAAUACACACUCCUCCAGAUUCAAACUAUCCCACAGGCUGCCAGGAAAAUGAUGUCCUUCUCCCCCUAGUAGCUAGACAUCGUUUGGAGGAAUGAGGGAGAACAGAACAUUCUAGGACAUCUAGGAGUUUGUCAUGAAUGAUGUCUCCCCAAAAAAAUGUGUAUCAAUUUGGCUGGGCCAUGAUUCCCGGUAUUGUGAUUUUCCUAUAUGUUGUAAAUCCUGCCUCUAUGAUGUUAACGAGGGUGGGCCGCAGUUGUGUUAGUGAGGCAGGACUCAGCCUACAGGACUGGAUUGUGUCCUCAGGCAGUCUCUUGAGAUAUAAAAGAAGAAGCAAGCAGAGAGACGGGGGGGACCUCAUACCACCAAGAAAGCAGUGCCAGGAGCAGAGUGCAUCUUUUGGAUCUGGGGUCCCUGUGCCUGAGAAGCUCCUAGUCUGGAGGAAGAUUGAGGACAAGGAUCUUCUCCAGAGCCGACUGAGAGAGAAAGCCUUCCCCUGGAGCCAACGCCCUAAAUUUGGACUUUUAGCCUGCUUUACUGUGAAGAAAUAAACUUCUCUGUUAAAUCCA
Molecule: RNA transcript, 3608 nt
Organism: Loxodonta africana (African savanna elephant)
Lineage: Eukaryota; Metazoa; Chordata; Mammalia; Proboscidea; Elephantidae
Gene: PLPBP
Gene name: pyridoxal phosphate binding protein
Exons: 9
Source: RefSeq, a predicted model, not a curated record